UUUGCACGUCGCUUCCGGUCUGUUGAAAAUGGCAUUUUACACUCGGUGCUUGCUGGGCUUUCCCAAGGUAAUGUUAAUGAUGUGCCUCGAUCCAAACCCCAACAAGUAACCUGGAGAAAGGUUUUAAGAUGUACGCCUCGUUAUAUAUUCGAAGGUGUCACUGUAACUCAAAGCAGAAGCAAGAAAGCCGCAUUUCGCUCAUGCGGAUAUGACGUCAGCGCCGGACGUGCAAAUAGCCCAUUGGGACCGGGCUCGUGAGUGACAGAUUUCUGCUACCCUGCACUGUUUCAUCAACGGAGCCUACAAUGAUUGCUAAGGCUAGUUAGCAUGGCCACCAAUGACAGUGGAUAAAUAGUUCUCCUGGAAAGGCCAAUUGUUUCUAUGUCAUGAACACAUUUUUUUUACAGAUCACCUGUCCCAUACAAUUACCACAUGGUGACAGUUUUAACAAAUAUGCAAAAAAAAAAAAAAACCCACCAACAUAUUUUUGUAAAAGUUGCAUACUGCAGCUUUUGUUUCUAUAAUUACUUUUGCACCUGAAAAUGAAAAGCUACCUUUACAUUUCUAACCGUCAGCUCUUCCCUGCUGUAUUAUUCAUGCCUCUGGUUCUGAAUAGAUUCUUAUUUCCAUUUGGUAUCUUCCAAAUGUAUACAGAUUAACCAAAGUAUUCCCUGUUUGUUGGGUUGUGCCCAUUCCUCCCAAUUGUUUAUUUAAGAUAGUAGGGCAAAUUAAUUGUGUUUGAUUGGCAUUAACAUAGCCAAAUAAAAAUUUGAAUUUGGUAAUAUC
Long non-coding RNA from Poecilia latipinna (sailfin molly), 786 nucleotides. RefSeq lists it as uncharacterized. The transcript has 2 exons. The record is from RefSeq and is a predicted model, not a curated record. Lineage: Eukaryota; Metazoa; Chordata; Actinopteri; Cyprinodontiformes; Poeciliidae.